UUUAAAAGCAGCGUGGGCGACUACGUUGCGUUGUAGACUGAAGGGGCGUUAUCCAUUUGUGUGUAGCUCGGGUAUAGGUCCGUUGGAACGCGGCAUCAUAGAGGGUGAGAAUCCCGUCCGUGGCCCGAGAGAAUUCUACGCAUUGUUGUGUUACGCUUCCGAAGAGUCGGGUUGUUUGGGAAUGCAGCCCAAAAUGGGUGGUAAACUUCAUCUAAGGCUAAAUAUAGGCACGAGACCGAUAGCGAACAAGUACCGUGAGGGAAAGAUGAAAAGCACUUUGAAAAGAGAGUCAAAAAGUACGUGAAACCGUUAGGAGGGAAACGAAUGGGGCUAGCAUUUUGUAUUCGUCACAAUCAGCCGGACGUCCAUGCGGGCGUGACGACGGUGAAAGCAGGGAAACUUGUUUUUUUCUGCUUUUUUCAAGAGAGCUUUUCCGUAAUGCGGAAGAGCCUCACGUCGGUGCGAACCAAUUAUCCUGUGUGGAUGGGAAAGCCGGUGCACUUGCGACGAGUAUCAGGCCAACAUCAGUUCGGUUAAUCUUGCCAAACGAAAGAGACAGGAACCUUUGAAGGAAGGUGGCUGGUUCGAGUUCCUUUUGGUCUCGUUUCAGCGUUAUAGCCUUCGAAGGAAAAACUUUUUUCUAAACGUCGCGGCCCGGACUGAGGAAACGCAGCAGCGCGCUCUUUUCUUUUUCGGGGACUUGUUCUCUGGAGAGGAGAGGGAAACUUGCAGAGCUUUCGCUAGGGUGCCAGCCGACUUCCACUGAACCAAAAAGGGGCAGUUGGAGAAGGUUUUUCAAUUCGGUGCCUUACCUUUUACAGGCUACGGGAGUCUACGCAUUAUACGCGCUUGUGAUGUUGGCGAAAUGGCUUCAUCCGACCCGUCUUGAAACACGGACCAAGGAGUCUGACAUGUACGCGAGUCCUUUGGGUGACAAACCCGUGGGCGUAAUGAAAGUGAAGGCGCGCCAUUUUUUGUCGUGCGCAUAACAACGCCGUGAGGUGAGACGCCUUUUUUUUUUUUUUCUCGUUUCGGCGGGGGAGAACUGAGAGGCCGCAUCAUCGACCGAUCCGGAAGGGCCGGAGAGGAUAGGAAAAAGGGGAACUUUGUUCUUCUUUUUCCUCCACUUCGGAUUUCCCGAAAGAUUUGAGUAAGAGCGUACCUGUUGGGACCCGAAAGAUGGUGAACUAUGCCUGAACAGGGUGAAGUCUGAGGAAACUCAGAUGGAAGCUCGCAGCGAUUCUGACGUGCAAAUCGAUCGUCUGAUUUGGGUAUAGGGGCGAAAGACUAAUCGAACCAUCUAGUAGCUGGUUCCCUCCGAAAUUUCCCUCAGGAUAGCUGGAGCUCGAAAUGCAGUUUUAUCAGGUAAAGCGAAUGAUUAGAGGCCUUGGGGUCGAAAUGACCUCAACCUAUUCUCAAACUUUAAAUGGGUAAGAAGCGCGACUUGCUUAAUUGAAGCCGUGCCAACUGAAUGCAAGAGUUCCAAGUGGGCCAUUUUUGGUAAGCAGAACUGGCGAUGCGGGAUGAACCGAACGCGAAGUUAAAGUGCCAAAGUUCACGCUCACCUAGAACCCAGAAAAGGUGUUGGCUGAUGAAGACAGCAGGACGGUGGCCAUGGAAGUCGGAAUCCGCUAAGGAGUGUGUAACAACUCACCUGCCGAAUCAGCCAGCCCUGAAAAUGGAUGGCGCUCAAGCGUGACACUCAUACUUCGCCGUUGCCGCGAACGAGGCAGACGCAUACUCUUAAUUUGCCGCAACGAGUAGGAGGGCGUGGAGGUAAUUUGUGAAGCAGCUUCGGGCGUGAGCCUGAGUGAAACUGCC
Molecule: ribosomal RNA, 1821 nt
Filed under: Enteropogon sexuale
Lineage: Eukaryota; Ichthyosporea; Ichthyophonida; Eccrinaceae
Description: eukaryotic LSU rRNA
Rfam family: Eukaryotic large subunit ribosomal RNA
Source: RNAcentral